Molecule: ribosomal RNA, 468 nt
Filed under: uncultured bacterium
Lineage: Bacteria
Description: partial 16S ribosomal RNA
Rfam family: Bacterial small subunit ribosomal RNA
Source: RNAcentral
GACGAACGCUGGCGGCGUGCUUAACACAUGCAAGUCGAACGGAAAGGCCCUGCUUUUGUGGGGUUCGCGAGUGGCGAACGGGUGAGUAACACGUGAGUAACCUGCCCUUGACUGUGGGAUAACUUCACGAAACUGGGGCGAAUACCCGGGAUGAGCUCCUGCUGCAUGGUGGGGGUUGGAAAGUGUCGGUGGUUGGGGAUGGACUCGCUGGUUAUCAGCUGGUUGGUGGGGUAGUGGCUUACCAAGGCUUUGACGGAUAGGCCGCCUGGGAGGGUAGACAGGGUCCAUGGGACUACGGUAGGGACCAGUAUGGUACGGUCGGCAGUAGGGGGGAACCUUACACAGCGGGGGGGAGUGAGAUACGGAAGCGCUGGGAUCGGGAUGCCGGCCUAUGGGUGAUAAACCGCUGUGGAAUGAAACGAGGCCUGCGUGACGGUACUGGGUCAGAAAGCAACGGCUAACUACGUG